RNAcentral lists this ribosomal RNA (502 nucleotides) under uncultured bacterium. RNAcentral's name for it is "partial 16S ribosomal RNA". It matches the Rfam family "Bacterial small subunit ribosomal RNA", at positions 29 to 523 of the family's 1533-position model. The record is from RNAcentral.
AUUGAACGCUGGCGGCGUGCUUAACACAUGCAAGUCGAUCGGUAACAGGUGUAGCAAUACAUGCUGACGAGAGGCGGACGGGUGAGGAAUAUUUGGGAAUCUGCCCAUCAGCGGGGGACAACCCGGGGAAACCCGGGCUAAUACCGCAUACGCCCUACGGAGGAAAGCCGGGGACCGCAAGGCCUGGCACUGAUGGAUGAGCCCAAAUCGGAUUAGCUAGUUGGCGGGGUAACGGCCCACCAAGGCGACUAUCCGUAGCUGGUCUGAGAGGACGAUCAGCCACACCGGAACUGAAACACGGUCCGGACUCCUACGGGAGGCAGCAGUGGGGAAUAUUGGACAAUGGGGGAAACCCUGAUCCAGCGACGCCGCGUGGGUGAAGAAGGCCUGCGGGUUGUAAAGCCCUUUCGGUAGGGACGAAAGCUCUUGCUCUACUAAUGCAAGAGGUUGACUUAACCUACAUAAGAAGCACCGGCUAACUCUGUGCCAGCCGCCGCCGUAA